CCCGCUUUCAGUAACCCCUUCAUCAUUAUAGUGUACAAGAUAACAUCGACCUUGAUAUUAUCCUCAAUCAUUUGCCUGUACCACAAUUGCGCAUCUUCAAAUUUCCUUGCUCUAAACAACCCAUCAAUCAAACAACUAUAUCCCUCUUUGUUAAGCACAUAACCGUCCUUUUUAAAAAACUUUAAAAGAGCCAUUGCCUCAUCAACUCUACCUAACUUACAGAACCCAUCAAGCAAAGCAUUAUAAGUAACAAAAUCAGGUCUGCAUCCACUAUC
This 275-nucleotide unclassified non-coding RNA is filed under the name Hevea brasiliensis (rubber tree). The record is from RNAcentral. Lineage: Eukaryota; Viridiplantae; Streptophyta; Magnoliopsida; Malpighiales; Euphorbiaceae.